Molecule: ribosomal RNA, 639 nt
Filed under: uncultured bacterium
Lineage: Bacteria
Description: bacterial SSU rRNA
Rfam family: Bacterial small subunit ribosomal RNA (bases 1-537)
Source: RNAcentral
CCUACGGGAGGCAGCAGUGAGGAAUAUUGGACAAUGGGCGCAAGCCUGAUCCAGCCAUGCCGCGUGCAGGAAGAAGCAUCUAUGGUGUGUAAACUGCUUUUGUACGGGAAGAAACACUCCGACGUGUCGGAGCUUGACGGUACCGUAAGAAUAAGGAUCGGCUAACUCCGUGCCAGCAGCCGCGGUAAUACGGAGGAUCCAAGCGUUAUCCGGAAUCAUUGGGUUUAAAGGGUCCGUAGGCGGUUUAANAAGUCAGUGGUGAAAGCCCAUCGCUUAACGAUGGAACGGCCAUUGAUACUGUUAGACUUGAAUUAUUGGGAAGUAACUAGAAUAUGUAGUGUAGCGGUGAAAUGCUUAGAUAUUACAUGGAAUACCAAUUGCGAAGGCAGGUUACUAUCAAUAUAUUGACGCUGAUGGACGAAAGCGUGGGGAGCGAACAGGAUUAGAUACCCUGGUAGUCCACGCCGUAAACGAUGGAUACUAGCUGUUCGGUAGCAUCUGAGUGGUCGUAGACGAAGUAGAUAAGUAAUACCCACCGUACGGGUAGGUACGGUUACGUCGAGAAGUAGAACGUACGAAACGAAAGUUAGUACGGACGUGAGACGUAGACCGACGGACGACGACGAGGGGAGGUUAGGG